UGGUUACCUGCACUGAUAAUCAGUGUGGGGAUCAUGUGAUCUGCAUUGUGUGGCUGCUUGUCUUGGGUCACAUGAGGCAUGUCACGUGACACAUUAGGAGAUUAUAAAGUUUGGCUUGUGGAGUUCACACUCUCUUGCUGCUGCCAUUUGCCACUGCAACUAGACUCCCGUCAUACAGGGUGACUGCUAGAACAAUGUGUUCUACUCUUUAUGAAGGACACAGGUGACUGCAUGGCAUUUGAAGGACUUGUGACCUCCUAUCGAGUUGCUGGGCUGCAGACACUCUGCACUGGAGUGCCCCAUUUUAUCUUCCUGGGUUAUUGUGCUGCGGGGAGUAUUGAACACACUUGCAAAGGACCAGGCCAGCCACUGUUUUAUUGUCAGCAUACAAGUCUUUUUUUUUAGUUUGUUUGUUGGUUGUUUUGUUUGCCUUUGGCUUUGUCCUUUUUUUUUGUCCUUGGUCUAGUGUAACCCUGCCUUGACCAAACCAGCGCGGUGGUCAUUGUGUUGGGAGCUGGCUGUUCUCCUCUUUUUGUCUCUGUAUAGGUUCUCUGUACAAGGCCGGAUCUGCACCUCACUACUGCUCCAUUCAGUUGGGGGCUGCACUGAGGGGACACUAUUUUGGGCCUCCUAGGAGAGGAGCUGUGGGUGCCGUGCCGACCCGACCUUAUUAGUUUGAGAAGCUCCAGCCAGUUUCCCUUCGUCUCUUUUUCACAUUAGCAAUUGUACCUAUUCAAAAUUGUAAUAAAUUUGAGCUUGUGUACA
Pangasianodon hypophthalmus (striped catfish) is the source of this 765-nucleotide long non-coding RNA. RefSeq lists it as uncharacterized. The record is from RefSeq and is a predicted model, not a curated record. The transcript has 2 exons. NCBI's taxonomy places the organism in Eukaryota, Metazoa, Chordata, Actinopteri, Siluriformes, Pangasiidae.